Molecule: non-coding RNA, 95 nt
Organism: Acanthosepion pharaonis
Lineage: Eukaryota; Metazoa; Mollusca; Cephalopoda; Sepiida; Sepiidae
Source: the annotation of a GenBank genome assembly
AUUGAAACGCCAAUUCCCAUACGAUCACCAAAGUUAAGCAAUGUUGAGCUUGAUCAGAACCUAGAUGGGUGACCAUUUGGGAAUAACAGGUUCUG